This is a long non-coding RNA of Brassica napus (rape), 2783 nucleotides long. RefSeq lists it as uncharacterized. The transcript has 3 exons. Lineage: Eukaryota; Viridiplantae; Streptophyta; Magnoliopsida; Brassicales; Brassicaceae. The record is from RefSeq and is a predicted model, not a curated record.
GGACUCUGAGAUCUCUCUGUUGCAAGACUUUUAAGUAUGAAUGGCAAAACAAGAGGUAGAAGUUUUUUUGUUGUCACAAUCUUAUAUUUACUCGCCAGUAGUUUUACAUUUGGAACUAAAGUCUAUGAUAUCAUCCUCUUAAACAGUCCUAAAUCAGUUACAACUUGGUUAAAAGCACUUGUGUUUGCUUUAGUUUACAGACAAGAACUCCAAACUCUAGAAUCUCAUUCUCUGCUCGAUAACAACUCGCAGUCCCACUGCCCUUUAUCGAAGCUUUCAACCCUCACACUCGUCAAGAUACUUCUGCUAGGAUCUUCCUACACACAUUUCUCUUAGGUCACUCCCCGAGUCUACUAAGGAGUCGUCUUGUCAAGUUGUGUGUUGCUGUAGGAACCCGAAGGAUGUGUUCGUAUUGCUUUGGUAUUUCAUGAAGAGUUUGAUUCUUAAGGAGAUGUUGGGUGUACAAUGGAUAAAAUGGUUAGUGGGUUUUGCAGAGAGUCGAUGGUUUAUGGACCCUUUUGGUUUGGAAUCAUGCCUUAAGAGUAUCGGAAAAGAGAGGUUAUUUUUAUGUUUUGAAACAUCUGUUGAUGUUAAAAUAUUGUAUUCACUAGUUGACUAGUAAAAGUUGAUGUUGAGCAGUAACAAAUGGCUUUCGGUUUUUAAUAUAAAAGGUACGCAGUAAUCCUCACGAGGAUCCAAGGCAGAUUAACUUUAGAUUCUAAAUACAUAUUUAUUUAUUUUUAAUAUUUAAAUUAUUUAAAUACAUAUAUAAAAUUGUAAAAUCUAAAUUAUUAAAAAAGAAACAUCAUAUAAAAAUAACUUUUAGGCCAUAUGUUUUUUACAUUUUUUGCCAUAUCUAUCUAUAUAAAUAAAGGAAGUUUUGCUCCUCUCCUUAGGAUGUACAGUUCAACAAUCACCUAGGGGUUUUUGUGGACACAUGGCACUCUUAAUUCUAUUUAAAAAAAAUUUCGUAAACGAAGCUAGCCAAUUGAUCUUUUAACGUUUAAAGUUUAAACCAAACGUUGACAAAAAAAAAAAAAGUUUAAACCAAAACCAAGCCAUUUCUUAUAUUUGGGCUUCUAUUUUUUUUUUUUCAGGCCAAAAGUAUCAUGUGUGACAACAUAGAGAACAUCGUCGACCCUUCUCUGAUGAAGCCGCCUCCGAUGAACUUCGUGUAACGCCUUCAGUUUCCAUUUAUUUUCUCUUUUAAUCUGAUCAGUUACAUAUUUUAUCCAACUCCCCUCACUCCGUAGAAUUUGUUUGAUCUCAUUAUUUUCAUACAUAACCGGCAGGAAGUCUCCUAUAAGUUUAAACGUUUCCAGCGAUGAACAGCUCAAGGCUGGCCGCUGCAGGCAGAGAGUUGUCACGAGGCUUCUCCGGUUCUGGAAAGCUCGAAAUGCGAAGAAAGAUGAAAAGUUGAUGGGCGUUGAUCUGUUACUGCUUGAUAGGAAGAUCCCGUCCAAUUUGAUUCAGGCUACAAUCAAUGUCCAUCGGCUCAAAACUUUCAGUAUGGCUGGCUGUAUGACCCAAAUAUGUUUGAUGCAAAGAUGAGAAACCAAAGCUUCUGCCUUUCAGACUCCCUGUUUCAAUUCAUUUUACAGAACAUGAUUUCAUCAUUUUAGGAAUAUCUACAAACAGAGCUCUGCCGUUUAUUCAGGUGAUGCCUCUUCCGAACUUUUUUUUCUAUUAGGGCUUUGGUUUUCAUUAUACAGUGGAAUAUUCCACCACUCAUCACUGGUGCUCCGAUGUGCCUCCGCCGCUUCUUCUUCCUCAAAUGCCGCCACGGCUAAAGCUCCCAAACCUUCCGGCUGCAACAUAAGGGCAGCUUCAUCUUCUAAUUCCACGUCUGAUCGUGAGGCCAUUUGCUCCAUUCGUCUUAAAAAGAUGAUUCCUUUGCAAGUAUAUUACUAUGAUGGAGGUUGAAGAACUGAGAGGUCAAGGUGCUGAGCAAUAUGCUUACAAGUGGGAAAAAGCCACAGUGCAAAUCAGCUCCACGAGAUGUACAAGUAUCUAGCGAACGGAGAAGAAUCAAACAAUGAGAGUGAUUGUGUUUCUAUGGUCGGGAGAGUCGUUGGUCGGAGAGCAUUUGGGAAACUUGCAUUCUUGACUCCGAGGGAAGAAGACUUAUGAAAAAUUCAAGUUUCAUCUUCAUCCAUUUUUUCUUAAUAGAUCAUUAAGAUGGCUUUGGUUUAAUUGAAGUAAUGCAAUCUCUACGUUUAGAGGACGCGGUUGGAAGAGAAAGUAAGGCAGCAUAAUGCAAAGCGAGCAGCGGCUGCAUCAAACACUCCUUAACAUAACGCAAAGAAAGACGAUGAUGAUUCAUGUGAGGUGACCCUAGACGAAGACUUUCUCACUGCCCUGGAAUACGGAAUGCCUCCUCCUGCUUCUGGAAUGGUACUAUUUCUUAUUUUCUUUCUUGUAUACGAUUAGAUUAAUAGUAUUGACGUUGCUUAAUUUGCAUAGUCAAAAACAUUACCAAGCUUUGUCUGCUCAAGUACUUACAUAAGUUCUCUUAUUGUUUUUCCGUCUUUCCUAGAGGUCUGGUAUUGACAGGCAGGUGAUGCUGUUGACAAACUCUGCGAGUAUAAGAGACAUCAUUGCGUUUCCUGUUCUGAAGGUUCAGCAGUAAUAAUUGCGCCUAACGUGGUAAUACAUGUUGUAGCUUUAGCAUUCCUUGUGUAUCUUCUUUUUUUGCUAUUUCUCGAGCUGAAGAAGUUGGAAGAAGCUUGUGUAACAUACGCAACUGGAUAGUAAAAACAAAUCCAAUGAUCUUUUGCUUGAUA